RNAcentral lists this long non-coding RNA (535 nucleotides) under Brassica napus (rape). Its description in RNAcentral is "long non-coding RNA (BNAP_LNC026592)". Lineage: Eukaryota; Viridiplantae; Streptophyta; Magnoliopsida; Brassicales; Brassicaceae. The record is from RNAcentral.
AAGUAUUGAUUUUGCAACCAAUAAGCAUGCAAAAAUCAUGAUAGCAGAUAGCUUGAAACACCAUGAUUCUUUUUGACAAUAGCUUGUUUCAAGUAUCUCUCAGUUGGUGUGAAAAGGGUUUCGUCUAUUAUUCAGCAGAGGAAUCUACACCUAACAUAAGUGUUAGGAUUUCGCUACUAAGGCAAAUUACGGACAACGAACCUCAGCUCUUGGAGACAAUUUCUUCAAGAUCAAGUAGAGCAUUCUCCCAAACCAUUGUCUUAGACUGGAACAUAUAAACGUUCAUCAGGUUUUCAGAUGAAUGAAACUGGAAUGCAUGUAACCAUAAAAACAACCUUGGUGAAUGACUCCCCUUGGUUAAGUAAAUAGAAAAGUUUCUUGAUGACCUACCAAAUUUCAUUUGGAAACAUCUAGUAAGCUGCCACAGAAAGAAAGAGAGAAUAAAAACAACAACAAAGAAUACACAAUAGUAAGCUUUAGUGUUUACCUGGAGCACCUUGUAGUGUCAAGUAUGAUUCGCUGCAGUUUCCAGGAU